Molecule: unclassified non-coding RNA, 336 nt
Filed under: soil metagenome
Description: partial contains 5.8S ribosomal RNA, internal transcribed spacer 2, and large subunit ribosomal RNA
Rfam family: 5.8S ribosomal RNA (bases 1-120)
Source: RNAcentral
GAUGAAGAACGUAGCGAAAUGCGAUAAGUAAUGUGAAUUGCAGAAUUCAGUGAAUCAUCGAAUGUUUGAACGCACAUUGCGCCCGCCAGUAUUCUGGCGGGCAUGCCUGUUCGAGCGUCAUUUCAACCAUCAAGCCCCAGGCUUGUGUUGGGGACCUGCGGCUGCCGCAGGCCCUGAAAACCAGUGGCGGGCUCGCUGUCACACCGGGCGUAGUAGAUUUUAUCUCGCUCAGGGCGUGCUGCGGGUUCCGGCCGUUAAAAAGCCUUUUUUACCCAAGGUUGACCUCGGAUCAGGUAGGAAUACCCGCUGAACUUAAGCAUAUCAAUAAGCGGAGGA